Salvator merianae (Argentine black and white tegu) is the source of this 1700-nucleotide long non-coding RNA. The record is from Ensembl. NCBI's taxonomy places the organism in Eukaryota, Metazoa, Chordata, Lepidosauria, Squamata, Teiidae.
CACGCAUGCACGCAUGCCGUGAGGUUUGAAGAGCUGCCGUGUAAAAACCCACAACACAGCAACCAAAAGAAACCCUUUUGCCCGACCCACAGAGCUGGAGGAAGAGAGCGUUUCCGUCCCCCCCCCCCGAGGCCAAGAGGCAGUUCCGUGAGCGGGGUGGGUGGGCAGAGAGUGUAGGGACGGGGGGGGGGGACGGACGGACUGGGAGGGCGGAAGAAAGAGAUGCCAGGAGGAAACCUAGCAGCUCAGCAGAGGAAGCAACCGGGCCGAGCGGACAAAAAGGGUCACACGGGGCCUUUGACCCCUGGUACGGCCGGCCUUGUGGACGCCUCGCCGGCUGCAAGCUCAUUUCCAGCCCAGGCAGUCGAGCCGAAAGCUUAGAAGAAAGAAGGAACGGGGGGGCCACUGCGGAGAAGCCCCCUCUCCCAUCCACCUAGCCUGCACUAAGUCAGCCAAGGCAUCAAGUUUCAACCUUGGACACCAGAGGCGCGGUGCAUUUCGGCGCACAACGAUCGGGCGAGAAACGGGCGCUUGGCGCUUGGCAACUGGAGCAGGAGAUGCCCCUGGGCUUCUGAUACCGCGGCCAGAUAAGGGGGGGGGUGAGGGGAGGAAAGGAGCCCACACAUCCCCCGCCCCUGCCUCAUCCUGCCAGCAGACUUUUGGGACAGUGAUCGCAAGGGGGAUUCCUGCACCUUUGGGAACCCGGUCUGUAUCGGCGGAUACGGCUGCGGGCGACAGGUAAGACGCAAACAAUUGCUGGUUGUCUGAAUGAAAGUCUUGGCCACUGGGCUGGAUUUUAGUGGCUCUCCGCGGUCUCUUCCUCUUCCUUCUCCGAAGUGGCCAGAUCCCAAAGGAUGUCAGCUCGAAAGUAUGCGCCUAUCUACAGAUUUCUGGUCUGUUUGCUGUUAAUCGUGACUCGGCUGGCUCUGAGAAACUCCCUCCUUUUGCUUUGUUUUUAAGUGACUAAGGAAACCAGUAAAAGAAUGAUAUUUGGAGAAAACCAGGUCCUUAAGGAGAGCUGAGCGCCUUUGGGGAGGAAAGAAGACAAGUGUUGCAUUGCCUGUUAAGUAAAUAAUGUCCUCGCAAAAAAGGGCGGAACGGCUUCGGUUCUUUGAUGCGUGCAGCCCAAACCAUUUCUGCGGUUUUGAAAAAUGAGUGGGAAACCUUUUCCAGGGCUGCUGUUGCUUGUUGCCACUGAAACAGGGCCAACUACAAGGGACUCCCUAGACCCUUUUUUAUGCUUGGCCAGGCCCUUUUGACAGAGAGGUUCCAGAGAUCGAACCGGCGACCUUCUACUUUCAAAGCCACGGAGCUAUAUUCCCUCCCCUUUCAUGCAGUUUUCUUGGCAGAGGUAGAGAAAUGGUUUGCUAUUGCCUACUUCCGGGGAGACGCUGACAAAUGAAUCACCAACCCUCUGCUUUCCAGGAAGUUUGCUCUACCACUGAGCUACAGCCCCUCCCAGACUCCAUGGGCCCCUCUAUGCAGUUUUCUUGGCAGGGAUACAGAAGUGGUUUGCCAUUGCCUACUUCCGGGGAGAGGCUAGGGAUCAAACUAGCAACCCUCCACUUUCCAGGCAGCUGUUCUACCUCUGUUCUACAGUAUCACGCGUGUUCUUAACUUCUGUUCUGAAGAUGAGAUGUUUGCCUGCGUUCCCAAGACAAAUAUUUUAAUAAAGGGUGUUAAGAUGUGCUUUCUUUGCA